GGAGGAGUGGCCGAGUGGUUUAAGGCGCCGGUCUUGAAAAUCGGUAAUGUCAAGCAUUCUAGAGUUCGAAUCUCUACUCCUCCG
This 84-nucleotide transfer RNA is filed under the name Blochmannia endosymbiont of Camponotus sp. C-003. Its description in RNAcentral is "tRNA-Ser". It matches the Rfam family "tRNA". From Rfam's summary of the family: Transfer RNA (tRNA) molecules are approximately 80 nucleotides in length. Their secondary structure includes four short double-helical elements and three loops (D, anti-codon, and T loops). RNAcentral also lists the same sequence under 1 other name. Lineage: Bacteria; Pseudomonadati; Pseudomonadota; Gammaproteobacteria; Enterobacterales; Enterobacteriaceae. The record is from RNAcentral.